This is a long non-coding RNA of Erpetoichthys calabaricus (reedfish), 533 nucleotides long. RefSeq lists it as uncharacterized. Lineage: Eukaryota; Metazoa; Chordata; Cladistia; Polypteriformes; Polypteridae. The record is from RefSeq and is a predicted model, not a curated record. The transcript is spliced from 3 exons.
GUCUUACUGUUAUCACAGCCACCGUCAUUCCAAGUACCAUUGUGGUUUUCUCCUUUUUGGUAGUACAUAGUGCCACAGGCUAUAUUAUUAUUGUUUGGUUCCCCUUUAUUCCAGUUUCGGUAGGUGAAUGUUUCACCGUUGCUCCAUGUUCCAUUGGUCAUAUUUAUAUCUUUUAGCCCAAUCCAGAUUUCUGCAUCAGAGUAAUUUUCUCUUGUAAGAUUGUUCAGAAUUUCCUUAAGUUCCUCCUCAUCUGCAAUAGUCACCAAGUCAGUGAAGUUACUCCGGCAGUAAGCCUGUGCAUUUGACCAGUUUGUCAUUUCAUUUACAUAAUAAUAGUUAAACUCCUGGGAUCCGUGCACAGCCAUUACAAACAAGCUGAAUCCUGCAGCAGAAAAUGUCAGAAAGAAAAAGCAAAAAGGAAACCAUCAGCUGUCAAACUGUGGCUGAGCACUAAACAUGCAGUGGUGUCCUUAUUCUUUAUAAAGCUCCAAAUCAACUUUUGCUAAAGAUUGUUUCCCAUGGUCAAACUUAAA